RNAcentral lists this ribosomal RNA (497 nucleotides) under uncultured bacterium. RNAcentral describes it as "partial 16S ribosomal RNA". It matches the Rfam family "Bacterial small subunit ribosomal RNA", at positions 28 to 507 of the family's 1533-position model. The record is from RNAcentral.
GAUGAACGCUGGCGGCGUGCCUAAUACAUGCAAGUCGAGCGAACAGACGAGGAGCUUGCUCCUCUGACGUUAGCGGCGGACGGGUGAGUAACACGUGGAUAACCUACCUAUAAGACUGGGAUAACUUCGGGAAACCGGAGCUAAUACCGGAUAAUAUAUUGAACCGCAUGGUUCAAUAGUGAAAGACGGUUUUGCUGUCACUUAUAGAUGGAUCCGCGCUGCAUUAGCUAGUUGGUAAGGUAACGGCUUACCAAGGCAACGAUGCGUAGCCGACCUGAGAGGGUGAUCGCCCACACUGGAACUGAGACGCGGUCCAGACUCCUACGGGAGGCAGCAGUAGGGAAUCUUCCGCAAUGGGCGAAAGCCUGACGGAGCAACGCCGCGUGAGUGAUGAAGGUCUUCGGAUCGUAAAACUCUGUUAUUAGGGAAGAACAAAUGUGUAAGUAACUAUGCACGUCUUGACGGUACCUAAUCAGAAAGCCACGGCUAACUACGUG